Molecule: ribosomal RNA, 480 nt
Filed under: uncultured bacterium
Lineage: Bacteria
Description: bacterial SSU rRNA
Rfam family: Bacterial small subunit ribosomal RNA
Source: RNAcentral
CCUAACACAUGCAAGUCGAGCGAAGCGAUUUCGAGGAAGUUUUCGGAUGGAAUUGGAAUUGACUGAGCGGCGGACGGGUGAGUAACGCGUGGGUAACCUGCCUCAUUACAGGGGGAUAACAGUUAGAAAUGACUGCUAAUACCGCAUAAGCGCACGGGACCGCAUGGUUCUGUGUGAAAAACUCCGGUGGUAUGAGAUGGACCCGCGUCUGAUUAGCUAGUUGGUGAGAUAACAGCCCACCAAGGCGACGAUCAGUAGCCGACCUGAGAGGGUGACCGGCCACAUUGGGACUGAGACACGGCCCAAACUCCUACGGGAGGCAGCAGUGGGGAAUAUUGCACAAUGGGGGAAACCCUGAUGCAGCAACGCCGCGUGAAGGAAGACGGUUUUCGGAUUGUAAACUUCUAUCAAUAGGGAAGAAAGAAAUGACGGUACCUAAAUAAGAAGCCCCGGCUAACUACGUGCCAGCAGCCGCGGUAA